RNAcentral lists this transfer RNA (64 nucleotides) under Lucanus kanoi kanoi. RNAcentral's name for it is "tRNA-Thr". It matches the Rfam family "tRNA". From Rfam's summary of the family: Transfer RNA (tRNA) molecules are approximately 80 nucleotides in length. Their secondary structure includes four short double-helical elements and three loops (D, anti-codon, and T loops). Further hydrogen bonds mediate the characteristic L-shaped molecular structure. tRNAs have two regions of fundamental functional importance: the anti-codon, which is responsible for specific mRNA codon recognition, and the 3' end, to which the tRNAs corresponding amino acid is attached (by aminoacyl-tRNA synthetases). tRNAs cope with the degeneracy of the genetic code in two manners: having more than one tRNA (with a specific anti-codon) for a particular amino acid; and 'wobble' base-pairing, i.e. permitting non-standard base-pairing at the 3rd anti-codon position. Lineage: Eukaryota; Metazoa; Arthropoda; Insecta; Coleoptera; Lucanidae. RNAcentral also lists the same sequence under 1 other name. The record is from RNAcentral.
GUUCUUGUAAUUUAAUAUAAAAUGUUGGUCUUGUAAACCAAAUCUAAGAAAUUCUUCCAGAACA